Hibiscus syriacus is the source of this 512-nucleotide long non-coding RNA. RefSeq lists it as uncharacterized. The transcript is spliced from 3 exons. The record is from RefSeq and is a predicted model, not a curated record. NCBI's taxonomy places the organism in Eukaryota, Viridiplantae, Streptophyta, Magnoliopsida, Malvales, Malvaceae.
GAAGAGAGGAGGAAGGAAUAGGAUGAACUUAAAACAGCAUAAGAGCAACUCAGCAGCUGUUCAAUCUCUCUCUUUUGAUGACGUUACCACUUCUUCUCUCUUCCUCUCGACGACGCCGCUUCCACUCUUGGCGUUUGCACCUCUGUUCUCAAGAAAAUCUGCCGUGAAAAUGGUCUCGACAGAUGGCCUCAUCGCAAGUUUUUAGCUGGGAUGAGCAAUGAAGAAAUUAAGAAGGAUGCAGAUAGAGAAAGAAGAAAAGACAUCGCCGAGCUUUCAAAGGUUCAUACGCAAAGGUAUAAUGUCAGACAAUUUGCUUGGUUUGAUUUUCUGCAUUCAUGAUAAUUUGGAUUUAUUUAUUUCAGUUUUGAGGUUCAAGUUGGUGAUUUUUGUGGAUUCUUCUUGAUGAUGACUUGUGUGUUUUGUGAAUUUUGUAAAAUAAUAAUUCACCAUAAGCUGCGUUAUUAUCAAUCAAUUAUGUUGGAGGGAGAAUUAUUGAAGACAAUAUUAAAUGA